Dermatophagoides farinae (American house dust mite) is the source of this 95-nucleotide non-coding RNA. The record is from RefSeq and is a predicted model, not a curated record. NCBI's taxonomy places the organism in Eukaryota, Metazoa, Arthropoda, Arachnida, Sarcoptiformes, Pyroglyphidae.
UGAUGAUGAUGAUGAUGAAGAUUUAUUUCUACUUUUUUUCUGGAUUCCAUCAGUUAUUGUUUUUAACUCGAAAUGAAAUAAUGGCAUCCGAAUCC